UGGGGAAUAUUGCACAAUGGGCGCAAGCCUGAUGCAGCCAUGCCGCGUGUAUGAAGAAGGCCUUCGGGUUGUAAAGUACUUUCAGCGGGGAGGAAGGGAGUAAAGUUAAUACCUUUACUCAUUGACGUUACCCGCAGAAGAAGCACCGGCUAACUCCGUGCCAGCAGCCGCGGUAAUACGGAGGGUGCAAGCGUUAAUCGGAAUUACUGGGCGUAAAGCGCACGCAGGCGGUUUGUUAAGUCAGAUGUGAAAUCCCCGGGCUCAACCUGGGAACUGCAUCUGAUACUGGCAAGCUUGAGUCUCGUAGAGGGGGGUAGAAUUCCAGGUGUAGCGAUGAAAUGCGUAGAGAUCUGGAGGAAUACCGGUGGCGAAGGCGGCCCCCUGGACGAAGACUGACGCUCAGGUGCGAAAGCGUGGGGAGCAAACAGG
RNAcentral lists this ribosomal RNA (429 nucleotides) under Chloroflexota bacterium. Its description in RNAcentral is "Chloroflexi bacterium partial 16S ribosomal RNA". It matches the Rfam family "Bacterial small subunit ribosomal RNA", at positions 355 to 776 of the family's 1533-position model. Lineage: Bacteria; Bacillati; Chloroflexota. The record is from RNAcentral.